This 496-nucleotide ribosomal RNA is filed under the name uncultured bacterium. RNAcentral's name for it is "partial 16S ribosomal RNA". It matches the Rfam family "Bacterial small subunit ribosomal RNA", at positions 30 to 523 of the family's 1533-position model. The record is from RNAcentral.
AUUGAACGCUGGCGGCAGGCUUAACACAUGCAAGUCGAACGAUGAUUAUCUAGCUUGCUAGAUAUGAUUAGUGGCGGACGGGUGAGUAACAUUUAGUAAUCUGCCUAGUAGUGGGGGAUAGCUCGGGGAAACUCGAAUUAAUACCGCAUACGACCUACGGGUGAAAGGGGGCGCAAGCUCUUGCUAUUAGAUGAGCCUAAAUCAGAUUAGCUAGUUGGUGGGGUAAAGGCCCACCAAGGCGACGAUCUGUAACUGGUCUGAGAGGAUGAUCAGUCAAACCGGAACUGAGACACGGUCCGGACUCCUACGGGAGGCAGCAGUGGGGAAUAUUGGACAAUGGGGGCAACCCUGAUCCAGCCAUGCCGCGUGUGUGAAGAAGGCCUUUUGGUUGUAAAGCACUUUAAGCAGGGAGGAGAGGCUAAUGGUUAAUACCCAUUAGAUUAGACGUUACCUGCAGAAUAAGCACCGGCUAACUCUGUGCCAGCCGCCGCAGUAA